CCUACUUAAAAAUAAUGAACUCUGUAUCUAUGGUUUCCUUGUGUAUUGAAAAAGUUCUGUUCUCUUCCACUGUUCAUGUUUCAAGGCUAAUCCGGAUGUUAGUAGAAAGUGAUGAUCUAUGAAGUUGUUCAAGUGUUCAACAAUGACAGAUCCCUAACUUUAAAGGGGGAUGGAAGGGACAUAUUUGGUUCUGUAUUGGGUAUGAACUUUGUGGUUGCAAACUAUUGCAGAGAGCGAGUUCAUUUUGCUUCGGCUGAGGAGUACUUGGACACAUUUUUGGCUAUAUUGAAGGAUUGAUUGCCAAGAGCAUUGGAGGCAUACGUUUCAAAAGGUCGAUGCUGAGAUUGCACCUCUUGGUUCAGUAACUGUUGGCUCUGCUGCUACUAUGGCUAUUGUUUGCUCCUCCCAUAUCAUUACGGCAAAUUGUUGUGAUACUAGAGUGGUACCUUGCCUCACAGCAUCAAUCUGCUUAUUCUAGUAAACAAAAUGCAUGUUAAAUUAUCUGCAUUUUAUAUGCGAAUUCAAUAUCUUCACUAUUUUCCACAA
This is a long non-coding RNA of Daucus carota subsp. sativus, 546 nucleotides long. RefSeq lists it as uncharacterized. The record is from RefSeq and is a predicted model, not a curated record. The transcript has 2 exons. NCBI's taxonomy places the organism in Eukaryota, Viridiplantae, Streptophyta, Magnoliopsida, Apiales, Apiaceae.